GGGAAAGAGGGGCUGAGGGCUGAACCCACACUCCUAGUUCCUCUCCAAACUCAUAAUCAACUCGCUUUGCCUCCAAGGGGGAUGUAAAAAGCCAGGAGCACUUAGGAAAAAUUCCCUCAUUGAAGAACCCAGAGGAGCGAAGAAGUGACCCCUUCCCAGCCUUCAGAAAAAUCCGUUUGAAAUAUGGAUUUUCAAGUCAAAUCUUGUCAGUCAGCUCCUCUCCAGCUCGAACCCAGAAGGAACUGGCCAACUGUUGCCCUGGUCUGGCCACCCUAACAGUACCUGAUGUGUGUUCAGAUGCACCUGGAAAGAAAGGAAAGAGAAUGACUAGCUGUGAGAGAGAUGGAUGCAGUAGACUGGAAAGACCUCAUAAGCACUCUGAAGUAUGCUGAAGUAUUCAGAAGUGAAUUUAGAAGCCUGUUUCACUUCACUUAGAUUCACAACACCUGCUGCUGAAGAUGUAACCCAGACUCGAAGGAUGAAAAAUGUCCUCUGUCAGACACAGACAUACGUUACCAGUUUCAAUCAUAUGUCAUCUGUGACUCAAGUAAUCAUGAACGCGAAAUGAAAAAACAAACAGUUGUGUUGUAUAAUAUGUUUUCUGCUUAUUCUCCUUGUGAGAUACAUUAUAAAAAAAGGACAGAGAGAAAUGGAUCUAUCAUAGGGCAUCAACAGAGCCAGUACAUUUGUCAAAAGAACUGGAAGAAGUGUGUAGUAAGUCCUUCCUGUAAAUUGUACCCCAGAUGUGCUGAUUGUUUUGCUUUAUUAGCUUCAUGCAGCCAAAGGGAAGGUUCAGCCUUUAGUGUUAAAUUGUUAUGUUCACAGUUUGAGAGGGAAAGGGAAAUUGUAAAUAUGCAGUCUUAUCACCUGUGAGAAUAUAGCGUCUUCCUAGUCUUGUAUUUCCUAGUCAUUAUAUCGCAAUUCUCCAUCCCCUCCAGUGAAACAUCCUACAAUGUCAAGGUUUAUUUCAUACAAGGCAAAUCUGAAAAUGAAUAAUGGAGGUGAAUGUAUUAUAAUUUCAAAUACUUUAUGUAUACUAGCUCCUUAUUCUCUAGAGUACCUCUGUAAGUGGGUGAGGUUAAAUAUCUUUAUGUAAUAGAAUAAAAAUGAAACAUGAGGGUUAAACCUAAUGAAUCCUAUCCCUUUCUAGCUCUGACCGUUGAUGGAACAGACAUCAUGUUGUCUACACGAUACCAGUUAUUUAGAUUAAAGAAAAUAAUUGGCCAUUAAUACAGAUAACCCUUGGGGUUUGAGAGUGAGGCUGGUGUCUCUGUUCUCUUUGUGCUUCUGUAUAACUGCUCUGUCCUUGAAACUCAGUCAUCUUUGCCGUUCACAUCAGACUGGCCUACCUUUCCUUUUGGUGACAUACUAAUCUCCUGGUCUCUUCCCUUCACUCACGGAAGAGUUCUGUCAUCUCCUCUGCUCCCUUAUCAUUUUUAUUGGUGUCUUCAAUGUCCUUGUGAAAACUUCAUCCCUCAUGUGGCUGCACUGUUCCUUGACCUGCCUCACCUUCUGUAUCCUUCCCCAUCUUAACAACAGCUACCGCACCUGCGGGUCUGCCCUGGCCCUUGUUAUCACUGACAGCUGUACUGUCCCCCAUCUUCUGUAUCCAGUUUUUUUAACCUCACUUCCCUGCAUUCUCUCUCAUUCUCCUCCGCCUCUGUGCUUUGAUCAUACCAAGUUCUCUAAAUCAGCAGUCUUUACUCUUGUUCAUUCUUCAUGAUCUCUCUCACGUUUUUCUUUAUUCCAUACUCAGCUCUAUCAUAUCUAUGUACUUUCAAAAAGUUAACUCUCUUAAGAGUUUCUUCCAUUUCACUUUCCCCAAAAGAACUCUCCCUCUGGUUAUCCCACUGUCUUAUUCUGCAUUGGCAGCUGAACAAGUCUGGAGAAAAGCAUGUACUUUUUGCUGACUGAUUCCAGUUUAAACUCAUGAUCCUGUAUCCUGACUGGGUAUUCAGUACUGGUUGGUUAUCUUUAUACUUUAAUAAAUGUCCAUUUCCCA
This is a non-coding RNA of Vicugna pacos (alpaca), 2002 nucleotides long. The record is from RefSeq and is a predicted model, not a curated record. Lineage: Eukaryota; Metazoa; Chordata; Mammalia; Artiodactyla; Camelidae.